This is a long non-coding RNA of Zea mays, 3238 nucleotides long. RefSeq lists it as uncharacterized. The record is from RefSeq and is a predicted model, not a curated record. The transcript is spliced from 8 exons. Lineage: Eukaryota; Viridiplantae; Streptophyta; Magnoliopsida; Poales; Poaceae.
CGCCGAGCGUCGCCAUCGCAAGCGCUGCCUCCGCAUGGAGCUCCCUCUCUCCCGAAGCACCGCACCACAGCGAGCGUCGGGGUCUCUCCGCUUCCCCGUUCUCCUCCUCCUCCACCCUUCCCAUACAUAGCUAAACCCUAACCCUACCUGUCGCAGCCGCUGUUGUCGAUGCCGCUGCCUCCUCGCCUUCCCGAUGCCCUAAUCCGAGGCGUCCCCGCCGCCUACUCCGGCCGCCGCAGAGCCCACGGUACCAACAAAGACCUCCUCGUCCCCGGCGCCUCCUCCCGAUCCCAAAUUCUAGUGCAGGAUCGAGGAGGUUGCGAUGCUAUUUGUUUCGACGUGGAGCUGAUAUAAAAAAUAGGUAUACUACUUGGGCUCGACCCCAACCCCUGCCUCCUCCAUGCCCUCACCACCAUGUGCGAGCUACACCAAGCUAGGUCAAUGUUGCGCUAGACAACUUCAGUUACGUGUAGCUGACACAUUGUUCAAUAGCUCGAACACAAGGAGUGCAUUUAAAGUUGGGAAGCUGGCCAAUUUGCUCUUGUGUUUGGUUUCUACAGUUUCUGGGAAAUUAGAUUUUGCACCAAAUCCAAUGCAAAUGAUAUUUCACUAUUUCUUCCUACAAGAGUUCAAGUUGAUCGAAAGCGUAGAGCUGGCUCCUCUCAGGAAGCUGAUCGAUCCCCUGACAGGGGUUCAAAUUGAUCGAAAGCAUAGAUCUGGCUCCUCUCAAGGAGCUGAUCGAUCCUCUGACAGGUCAGUACUCGGUAGCCUAAGACUAUGAUUAGUGGUGCUGCUGGGAGUUCUUUGAGCAUUGAACAAGCCAUUCUUAGAUUGAUCGAGGCUUUGAUGAUAGUACUAAAUGACAAGGAAAAUCUUAGUGCACUUGGUAAGCACAAGAAUGAGAAUCAUUCUGGUGGCAGUGAGUCAAUUGAGCAUAUAUUGCAGAUGCUUCGCCAGUUGCCAACCAAAAAUAUAUCUGAUAAGAUAAGCCAUGAUGAGAUUACAAAUGAUUCUAUCUCCAAUGUCAAUAAUUCCUUUGCUGAUAGAAAGGCACUGCAUGUGAAGCGGACCAAAAAUGGCUUGAGUAAACAACUAGUAAUGUUGAUAAAUUGUUGUGUGCUACAUUCCCACAUGUGUGUUUUCCUUGUUUCUUACAGUUUAAAAUAAAUGAGUCACCUGUUAGGAACAUGGGAUUUUCCCCUAUUCCUGCGUUUUUCCUAUGAAAUUGAACUGAUCCAUUUGAAAUUCAUGUAUGAUUCCUGUGUUCCAAACGGGGCCUUAUUCUUUUAAGUUGACACUCAUUUUUUGCAGCUUGCUAUUCAUUCAUCUGAGAAGGUAAGGAACGCAGUGGUUAGUGGUGUAAAAGGGCUUUUGUCUAGUUGCAGUUCUACAUUAAAAAGAACCAAGAUGCUACUUUUGGAAUGUUUAUGUGUUCUGGCAUGUGAUGAUGCUGCAGCUGUGUCUGAGGCUGCACAAGAUGCUCUUGAUCAUCUUUUCAACCAAGGCCACAAUCUCGUAACAGAAAAUGAGAUUUCUGAUACCUUUACUAGGCUGGUUGAAAGGCUACCACAAGUGGUACUUGGAAGCGAGGAGACAACCACACUUUCACAUGCUAGGAUGUUGUUGGCUCUGACCUUUUAUGCUGGUCCCUAGUUUCUGAUAAAUCAUCUUCACCGUUCUCCUGUCAUUGCUGCUCGUUUCUUUGAUUGUUUGGGUUUAUGCAUAGGUCAUAGCUCACAGUUUUCUGGUUCCAUGGACAAGCUAAUUGUAUCAAAGCCACUAUCUAUUGGGUAUCUUUAUUCAGUUGCUGAGUUGAAGAGUGGCGCCUAUUCUAAAGAUACAACUAACAUAUCUCUGCAUGCCACGUCAACAUUUGCAGCCUCCAAAAUAUCUGUUAUCCAUGAUAAUGCUUUGCCAAUUGCAUUACUUGGUACAGUUGAAUAUGAGUUGCCCCAUGUGCCUCCAUGGUUUUUUCAUGCUGGUAGCCAGAAGCUUUAUGGGGUUCUUGCUGGAAUAAUUAGACUUGUUGGCCUAUCAACAGUGUCAGGUACCUUGUGAAUUAUUUUGCUUGUCAAAUCUACGAUUCAUGGACUGUUCUAUUUUUUCAUGCUGAGUCAGUACUAAACCAAAGAUCAUAACCCGUUCCUAAGAGGAACCCAACAAUAUGUAACUAAAAAAAUUAUCAAUUCCCUUUAUCUUUAUCUGUUCAUGACUUUGCUUAUUGUUUCCUACUCAAGAUGGUCGUGCAUGGAGCUUUGUUCGGCACCAAUGGCACAAUAUGUUCUCUACAUAUUACAAUAUGCAGUUGAUGGGUUCGAUUCCUUAAAGCUAACAGUAGUGGUCACUAGCCCUUGAAAAAUAAAUUUUGGACAACCAAAUUUCAUAGCAGCUUUGACUAUUGUUGAAGUUGAUCUUUUUACUACUUUAGAUUGUCGUUGAUGCAAAUGUUCUUUGUGGUGCUUUGAGAUGACUAAGGAUCUAUAUCUGUCUUAAGAUUUGUCUUUUCCUUACAAGUGAAGAGAUUGCGUGGUUCAAUGAAGUAAUAACCUAUGAUCUAUGGGCCAGGUCUUUGAUGAGUACCUUAACUUGCAGGAUAGCAUACUCAUACAGUAAUAUUGUUGUUUGUCGCUCUUAACAAAUUUCAUUCAGGAACCGGGCCAUGUUGAUGUUCAAAAGAGUUGUCAGAAGUUCAUGACAUCUGGUAUUUAUUAUAUCUUCUUUUGUAGUGGGCUGGUGUGGUCUGCUUAGCAGCAGAUAAUUUUGCUAUUGAAAAUUAAUCUAUUACCAUAAGCUUGGUGACUGAGGUAGACAUUUGAUUUAUACUUAAUCUAACUGUUUCUCUAUGUGAAUAUAUACAUAUAAUAACUCAGGUAGCACUACAACCAACAAUGUAUGGAUGAAUUGAAGGUAGUAAAGAACGCAGGCAAUCUUAUAGAAACUCUGCAUCUUGAAACUGGCAUGAUUGACAAAGAAGCUGGAUGCAUCCUUUGGAUUGGUGUCUUCUUAUCACCAAGCUGGAUUCAUUUGUUGACUAAGAACAGAUGAGCACAAAUCAGUGAAGAGUUCAUUGCACUAGAGAUGGAGGAUGGAUAGGUGGUAGAUUUCAAUAUGGCUUUGAUACUAUUGUUUCUCUUUACAAUCUUUGUACAGAACAAGAAAAAUGACGUUGUAUGUGGAUACUAUUGUAAUUCAAGAAUUUAUUUCUGAAUAAUAAAUAUAUUUGUUUAUAAUUUGUGUA